Molecule: ribosomal RNA, 264 nt
Filed under: uncultured bacterium
Lineage: Bacteria
Description: partial 16S ribosomal RNA
Rfam family: Bacterial small subunit ribosomal RNA
Source: RNAcentral
UGGCGACCGGCGCACGGGUGAGUAACACGUAUCCAACCUGCCGAUGACUCGGGGAUAGCCUUUCGAAAGAAAGAUUAAUACCCGAUGGCAUAGUUCUUCCGCAUGGUAGAACUAUUAAAGAAUUUCGGUCAUCGAUGGGGAUGCGUUCCAUUAGCUUGUUGGCGGGGUAACGGCCCACCAAGGCAUCGAUGGAUAGGGGCUCUGAGAGGAAGGUCCCCCACAUUGGAACUGAGACACGGUCCAAACUCCUACGGGAGGCAGCAG